Molecule: ribosomal RNA, 119 nt
Filed under: Betta splendens (Siamese fighting fish)
Lineage: Eukaryota; Metazoa; Chordata; Actinopteri; Anabantiformes; Osphronemidae
Source: RNAcentral
GCUUACGGCCAUACCACCCUGAGCACGCCCGAUCUCGUCUGAUCUCAGAUGCUAAGCAGGGGCGGGCCUGGUUAGUACUUGGAUAGGAGACUGCCUAGGAAUAUCAGGUGCUGUAAGCU